ACAAAACAAAAAACCGCGCAGUUGCAAAUUACGUUAAACAAAAGAAUAUACAAACAAUAAAUACACUCACUGAUCCAAUUUUAUGUUUGAAUAGGGCCCAGUUGGACCCCGGCGUACCCACCCUGCCUGAGAUGACCACAUCGGCGCCAUCUCCCUUGCGUUGGUCACUACAUCAGUAGCUGCUCCUAAUCCGGCGUAGCGCUGUGGAAUUCCCUUCCCCUCCAUGAUGAGAAAACUCACACAAACAUGUUCAUCAUAUUUAUAGAUAACAACCAGAUAUUUGGACUUCAAAAUGGCAAAGGAACAAGAUUCAAAAAUUACGCAGUAGGACGAUGUGAAACAACAUAAUAGCCACAACGGCGUAAUAGAUAACUUAUUUUAUAUGUUACGCAUUUGGGUGUAAUAGUGCAAAUCAUAAACUAACUGGGAGUGGAUAGGUACAAAGAAACGGUCAGCGGACAAAUAAAGAUCUCUAAUCUCACAACAAAUUACAUAGUUACUAUUUCAGCUUAUGUAGUUUUUAGUCGGCUUGAUCGAGCAAUCUACUACCCCGGAUGACUGGGAGUAGUUUUUAAAUUUCUCUCCCCUGGAAUUGCCAUUUCUUACCCCCUAUUAUCGCCACGCGAUAUCCCAAUCCCACAACAUAGCGAUUGUACACAAAGAAAAGUCUAGGUUUCAUACUUGUUGCUGGGAAUCCUCAUUCAAGGUUCUACAAAAAUAUUUUUUUAAUGUAAUGUAAACAUUUGAUCAUAAAAUAAAUGUUUUUUAAAGAAUAAAGUAAAA
Molecule: long non-coding RNA, 783 nt
Organism: Drosophila nasuta
Lineage: Eukaryota; Metazoa; Arthropoda; Insecta; Diptera; Drosophilidae
Exons: 3
Source: RefSeq, a predicted model, not a curated record